RNAcentral lists this ribosomal RNA (378 nucleotides) under uncultured bacterium. RNAcentral describes it as "bacterial SSU rRNA". It matches the Rfam family "Bacterial small subunit ribosomal RNA", at positions 521 to 896 of the family's 1533-position model. The record is from RNAcentral.
UAAGACGUAGGGGACGAGCGUUGUCCGGAUUUAUUGGGCGUAAAGAGCGCGUAGGCGGUUUGGUAAGUCGGACGUGAAAAUCCGGGGCUCAACCCCGGACGUGCAUCCGAAACUGCCCGACUAGAGGUAGGUAGGGGAGAUCGGAAUUCCUGGUGUAGCGGUGAAAUGCGCAGAUAUCAGGAGGAACACCGGUGGCGAAGGCGGAUCUCUGGGCCUUACCUGACGCUGAGGCGCGAAAGCUAGGGGAGCAAACAGGAUUAGAUACCCUGGUAGUCCUAGCCGUAAACGUUGGGUGCUAGGUGUGGGCGGAAAUCGACCCCGUCCGUGCCGGAGCUAACGCAUUAAGCACCCCGCCUGGGGAGUACGGCCGCAAGGCUA